Molecule: ribosomal RNA, 430 nt
Filed under: uncultured bacterium
Lineage: Bacteria
Description: partial 16S ribosomal RNA
Rfam family: Bacterial small subunit ribosomal RNA
Source: RNAcentral
GUGGGGAAUAUUGCACAAUGGGCGAAAGCCUGAUGCAGCAACGCCGCGUGAGGGACGACGGCCUUCGGGUUGUAAACCUCUUUUAGUAGGGAAGAAGCGAAAGUGACGGUACCUGCAGAAAAAGCACCGGCUAACUACGUGCCAGCAGCCGCGGUAAUACGUAGGGUGCAAGCGUUAUCCGGACUUAUUGGGCGUAAAGAGCUCGUAGGCGGUCUGUCGCGUCUGCUGUGAAAACUGGAGGCUCAACCUCCAGCCUGCAGUGGGUACGGGCAGACUAGAGUGCGGUAGGGGAGAUUGGAAUUCCUGGUGUAGCGGUGGAAUGCGCAGAUAUCAGGAGGAACACCGAUGGCGAAGGCAGAUCUCUGGGCCGUAACUGACGCUGAGGAGCGAAAGCGUGGGGAGCGAACAGGAUUAGAAACCCCAGUAGUCC